Molecule: ribosomal RNA, 484 nt
Filed under: uncultured bacterium
Lineage: Bacteria
Description: partial 16S ribosomal RNA
Rfam family: Bacterial small subunit ribosomal RNA
Source: RNAcentral
AUUGAACGCUGGCGGCAUGCUUUACACAUGCAAGUCGAACGGCAGCGCGGGCUUCGGCCUGGCGGCGAGUGGCGAACGGGUGAGUAAUGCAUCGGAACGUGCCCAGUAGUGGGGGAUAGCCCAGCGAAAGCCGGAUUAAUACCGCAUACGACCUGAGGGUGAAAGCGGGGGACCGAAAGGCCUCGCGCUAUUGGAGCGGCCGAUGUCGGAUUAGCUAGUUGGUGGGGUAAAGGCUUACCAAGGCGACGAUCCGUAGCUGGUCUGAGAGGACGACCAGCCACACUGGGACUGAGACACGGCCCAGACUCCUACGGGAGGCAGCAGUGGGGAAUUUUGGACAAUGGGGGCAACCCUGAUCCAGCCAUGCCGCGUGCGGGAAGAAGGCCUUCGGGUUGUAAACCGCUUUUGUUCGGGAAGAAAUCCUCUGGGCUAAUACCCCGGGGGGAUGACGGUACCGGAAGAAUAGGCACCGGCUAACUACGUG